RNAcentral lists this ribosomal RNA (485 nucleotides) under Micrurus sp. RNAcentral describes it as "partial large subunit ribosomal RNA". It matches the Rfam family "Bacterial large subunit ribosomal RNA", at positions 1855 to 2607 of the family's 2925-position model. The record is from RNAcentral. Lineage: Eukaryota; Metazoa; Chordata; Lepidosauria; Squamata; Elapidae.
ACACCUGCCCAGUGACAAUUAAACGGCCGCGGUACCCUAACCGUGCAAAGGUAGCAUAAUCAUUUGUCUAUUAAUUGUAGACCUGUAUGAAAGGUAAAAUGAGGACCUUACUGUCUCUUAUAAUAAGUCAAUUAAACUGAUCUCCUAGUUCAAAAGCUAGAAUACUCACAUAAGACCAGAAGACCCUGUGAAGCUUAAACUAAACUAUUAAACCCUAUAAUAGCUCCUUUCGGUUGGGGCGACCUUGGAAAAAAAGAGAACUUCCAACAUACAAUCCUAUAAAUUUCACCCAGGCUGACAAGCCACCAAAGACCCAGCACAGCUGAUAAUUGAACCAAGUUACUCCAGGGAUAACAGCGCUAUCUUCUUCAAGAGCCCAUAUCAAAAAGAAGGUUUACGACCUCGAUGUUGGAUCAGGACAUCCUAAUGGUGCAGCAGCUAUUAAGGGUUCGUUUGUUCAACGAUUAAUAGUCCUACGUGAUCUG